AAGAAGAAAUUGAGGCUCCGACAGGAGAUGUGACUUGCUGAAGGUCCAAACCUGCAGCCUAGAGGAACCGUGUUUUGAUCCUCUGAUGUGCUAUGCUCAGGAUGCAUCCUGCCCAUGGUCAUCACCAGGGAUGGCUUGUUUGUUAGCAAGUUGUGCAAAGAGGCCUCCAGGAGCUUUCUAUGGAAGAUAUUUGUGAGCCAGAGAUUUAAUUACAAACGAGGCUUGGAAUCCACAGAGAAAGUUCAUAGAACAAGAGAGUGUUCAACAAUGAAGUUAGAACAAAGGAGCAAGUCAGCUGCCUCCAUUUACCCUCUUCCUGUCACCAUAAAUAAUAAUCAAUAAAUAUCAGGGGAGCUACUGAUUCAUUUGUUUUUAUCAUUUCUUUACAGUUAAUAGAAUGUAAGAAAAACAAUUUUUCUAAACAAUUUAAUUGUGAGCCCCUGAUUUCUAAUUGUAAUACAGAAUUACUGUAGGCUAAUUGAGAUUUACUAGUCACCUACAAAGUCUACUUUGAGAAACCUUAGUUAUUUAUUUCCAAAAGUGUUAGAAAUAUUCUAUCCAGUAACAGGAAACCUUUUAUUUUACACUCUCUCUCCCCUCAAAAAAGUGUAUAUGACCCAUUUUCUAUUUUUCUAUCAAACAAAAUGAAAAAAAGCUUUAUUGAUUCCUGUGGGAAAAUGUAUAUUCUAAUAAUUUUAUAUCUGUUAUAUUUCAGUAUAGAAAACCAUGUUGAAAAAUGCCAGUUAAAGAAUUUGGCACUGCCUUUUUGUCACUAAAAUGUUAAUUUCUGGGAAUAUUGUAGAAAUUGCAAUAAAGAAGCAACUUUCUAAUUUCUAACUUUAUGCUUAAGUUAUAUUGAAGAUAAUAUUUACUGUCAUAACACACAAAUUAGCUUAUGUGUGUAACUAGGUGAGCCAAUGCAUUCUUCAGGCCAAGAGUUUGCUCAUUGCUGAUUUAGGCAAAACCUUUUAUUGCACACCUGGGAAAAUGAAUUCCAAAGAUGUAAAGUGAUUUGCCUGUGGUCACAUUUCUAGUAAAUUAUUUAAUUCUAACACAGGUCAUUCAUUUAGGAGCCUGCAUAUUUAGUGUCUUAUUAUUUUUCUACUGUUUAUACUCUCACGUAGAUCCUUCUCUUAGGUUACACAGAAAGCAAUUUGGGCUAAUACCUUGUCAUUCACUCCUAAAAGCAAAACACCAUUCACAACUUUUCAACUCAUUUUCAGAACUGUAGAUUGUUGGGGUUGCUACCACUGCUUGUAUUGGUUCCAUGAGAAUGUAACCAGGACAUCAGUUCUUUCCUGUUCUCUUAUCUGAACUAACUUAUAGAAUUAAAUUGUACAUCAGCAUUUGUGAACACUGUGGAUUUCAAUGGAGACUGUAUAAAGAACACAGAGAAGGUUUGCACCAUCCACUGAACAGCAUUCAGCUUGGAAUCCCAAGUUCAGACAUCUCUAUUUAUCUCAGUCCUUUUUCUAUUGCCCAACCACAAGGAGUCCUUCUUUCUAUCCUUUGCACCAAUGGCAAGGUGGCCAUUUUCCUUUCCCACAGGUCAGCUCCACCCCAAUUGCUACCUCCAAAAUACCUCCAGAGGAUCAGUGAAAGAAAAGGUUGGCCAGUUCAUAGACCCACCACUGUAGCAAGCAAGGGAGAAGCCCCCUUCUGCACUUGAUCUCUUUUGAACUCUUGCUCUUAUAUACAUAGCUUUCGCAGCAUUUUCCCACAAAUUAUAGAAAUGCUCUAUCAGAGGAGAAAUUCUAUUUUCUACUCAUUAUGGGGAUGAUAGAUGAGCAAAGCAGAUGAUGCCCCUCAGAUGUUGCAGAUGAAAACUUACUGUGCACAGUGGGGACAAGAAUCUUUAAAGCCAAUGACUGAGAUUUUGUGUACUCUUCUGUGCUCAAGGUUGGUUGUUUAAUUAAUACCAACUGGCUCAUUCACCACUAGCUAACACAAGGAAAUACUUAGAGGACCAGUUUUCUGAUAUUAAAUAUUACUUUUGAAACUCAAAUAGUUCUUAUUAUUAAGCUUAGAUCAAAGUUGAAUUUAAUUAGCUUUAAGAAUAGAAUUGUAAAUAGAAAAGGCAUUCAUCCACAAGCAUAUUACACGUCCUUAAAGAUCAGCUCACACAUCAUGUAUCUCUUCAUGACGAUGAAAAAUAACAUGUUUGGGGAAAAAUAUUAGCAUAACACUAUCAAAGGAAUUUGCCUGACAU
This is a long non-coding RNA of Callithrix jacchus (white-tufted-ear marmoset), 2209 nucleotides long. The record is from Ensembl. Lineage: Eukaryota; Metazoa; Chordata; Mammalia; Primates; Cebidae.